CAUCCUACGGGGGGCAGCAGUGGGGAAUAUUGCACAAUGGGGGAAACCCUGAUGCAGCAACGCCGCGUGAGUGAAGAAGUCAUUCGUGAUGUGAAGCUCUAUCAGCAGGGAAGAAAAUGACGGUACCUGACUAAGAAGCCCCGGCUAACUACGUGCCAGCAGCCGCGGUAAUACGUAGGGGGCAAGCGUUAUCCGGAUUUACUGGGUGUAAAGGGAGCGUAGACGGCAGCGCAAGUCUGGAGUGAAAUCCCAUGGCUUAACCAUGGAACUGCUUUGGAAAUUGUGCAGCUGGAGUGCA
Molecule: ribosomal RNA, 298 nt
Filed under: uncultured bacterium
Lineage: Bacteria
Description: partial 16S ribosomal RNA
Rfam family: Bacterial small subunit ribosomal RNA
Source: RNAcentral